This is a non-coding RNA of Podarcis muralis (Common wall lizard), 317 nucleotides long. The record is from RefSeq and is a predicted model, not a curated record. NCBI's taxonomy places the organism in Eukaryota, Metazoa, Chordata, Lepidosauria, Squamata, Lacertidae.
UCCGCAAAGGUGGCCCAUUCAAGCCAGAAGGAUGAGGUGAACCUGCAGUUGUAGCAUAGAAGGCUCGGACACAGAGACACCAACGUCAUUCUAGACUUAAAAAGUGUACUUCAUCAAAGAAAAGAGUGACACACAGGAAAUGUUCCAGAAAUACAUAGCCAUGGUCAAAAACAAGUUCAAGAGAGCUCCAGCUAUGCUAAUGACUGACAAUGGAGAAGCAGAGUAUGUUGCAGCUACAGAAGCAUGCAGAGAGGUUGCCUGGCUGGAUCAACUCAUUAAGGACUUUGGGUUGGUGAGCAAGGUACCUGUUAAGCUGC